Molecule: non-coding RNA, 81 nt
Organism: Paragonimus skrjabini miyazakii
Lineage: Eukaryota; Metazoa; Platyhelminthes; Trematoda; Plagiorchiida; Troglotrematidae
Source: the annotation of a GenBank genome assembly
GACUUCGUAGCUCAGCUGGUAGGGUAUUUGCCACGUUUAGGCAUGUUGUCUCAGUCGCUGGUUCGAGUUCGGCCGAAGUCC